Molecule: long non-coding RNA, 4768 nt
Filed under: Gossypium barbadense (sea-island cotton)
Lineage: Eukaryota; Viridiplantae; Streptophyta; Magnoliopsida; Malvales; Malvaceae
Description: long non-coding RNA (GBAR_LNC021408)
Source: RNAcentral
ACCAGUGCAAUGGAAGGAGCUAAAUGAAACAAUUUAUAGUCUAUCAAAUGAUUCCUCUCAAAUCGGUGUAAAUUAUGCAAUUAUUUGUUUCUGUUCUUUGACAUCCUAAAGCAGGAAAAAGGCCAAAUGCUACUCUGAUAUGACACUUUCAGCUUGAUAACCAUUUCUUUUCUUCACUGUCUUCCUUCCUGACGUGGGUUAUUGUAUUGCUAGUUUUCAAAUAUUAUAUAUCCAUGAUAGUUAUAUCUUUAUCAGAUCGGUCUUUCUAGCACCAUUCUCUUCUAGCAACAUUCUCUAUCGUAAUUGCCUUGCCGGCAACAUGUUCUGUCCGAAAGCAAUGACCGUAGUAUGGUAUCCUCCAGGUUUAAGGGUUUUGUCGCCAUUAAUUUCACUGCGUCAAAGUUUCCACAUUCAUAGCAUACCAAAAGUGGAGAAUCUGCCGUAGCUUUGCCCUUCACUUGCUUAACAACGACGACUCUUCUAAGUGGCUCGUUAGUGACUUCAAUUUCGACACGCUUGCUGAUUUACGUGACGUGACACUACAAAAUUUCUCUAGUUUGGAUUUAUUACCCAGAGGCUUAUUUAAAAACAAUUUAUUAGUUAAAGUCAAAUUUAAACAAAUUACUUCAGUCACUUACAUUUAUUCUCGUUCGAAAAACAGUUAGAUUUAUUUAGAGGAAAAUAAAUUAGAAUUUAAUGGAGAGCAUGAGAGGUUAUUUGUUUAAGCUUCACGAUUCAUUUGAAAAAUAUUAAACUUGAAAAAUGGAUAUGGGUCGAGACUCAAGUCAGCCUAAUCCGUUUUUUAAUGUUUGUAAUGUUAUUUUUAUAUAUUAUAUAAUUUAUAACACAAAAAUAAAUUUAUCCUAAAUAUUUAAUACUAUUAGAAUGUAAAUAUUAAAAAAUUUUAAUAAAUAAAAAUAUAUAAAAUUGUUAAAUACUAAAUUAAAAUAAUAUAAAUAUACUUUAUAAAAAUUAAAAAUAAAUAAUAUGACCAGGUCUAAAUGAGCAUGGGUUAACUAUUUACAAAUAUGAGCUAGUUUAAAUUCAUAUUUCAUGCUGGACCAAACUUUAAUAAAUAUAAAAUGUAUUAAUUAAUAUCAUGUUUAAAUUCGAUCCAGAAAUGUAUUAACUAUGGGCAGCGGUGGCACGUGGAUUAGCGACCAAUAGCUGACUGCCUACAUACGUUGGUCUGGAAAUCUAGAACUCUAGCCUCAGUUCAUCAAAUUUGUGUAAUUGGAUGAUGGGUAAAUCGCAAGACUGAGUUGGGAUCGUUGUCUGGAAUCUUAGAUGGAGCAUAUUAUGGGAACAAAGGAAUGCAUUCCUUUUCAAGAACCAGAAUUUCAGCCGUGUGGACGUUAUUACGAAAUGCUUUCAGUUGGGUGAGGAACAUUAUGCGGAUGGCAGAAGUACAAGCGGGCUGCCUCUUUCAGCUUUUGUUGGAGAACAUCAGGGGGUUGUAAGCUAAUAGAGUUGCUUAUUUUAUGUCGAGACUGGCAUAUGAUCCUAAUGGAGUCUUACAGCGAUUUGAUCAGCCACCUCAAGUUUGUGGGCUACUUACACAUGAUAUUAGUGGUUUAUUGAUUUCUAAUGGUUUAAUGGUAAAAGUGCCCUCCACCUCCUGUAUUAAAAGUUAAUGUGUAUUUUAUUUUAUUUACUUAAAAAUAUAAGUAAGUUAAUUUUCGAUUAAACAGUAAAUUAGUCCUAUUAAAAAAAUCAAUUUAUUUCUACUAUUAAAAGCUGAUAUGGAUGGCAAAGCAAUUAGAUAGUGACACAUGGCAUGAUACGUGUAUCGCAUGCUAACAUUUAAGAUAAACUUCAACAACCUAAGCAAAACAUUUGUCUAAGUUUAUUUUGCCCAUGGCUUUUCAAAAUAAUUAUAAAGAAUUAAAAAUAUAGAAAAUUAUUUAAGAAUUAUAAGAAAUUCUUGAAAUUAUUAAAAACUAAAGAAAAGUGUUUAAAAUUUAUUAAAAACAAUUUGGCUACUAUUGUGUUUUUUUUUUAAUAUUUUCUCUAAGAUUAUGGACUUAUCCUUAUGUUUUUAACUCUUUUUGCCUUCAUUUGGUAAGUAUUUUUUAUUUUUAUUUUUGUAAAAUAUUUUCUAUUUUAAAAAUUUGAAGAGCAUAUUUAUUAAAUAAAAAUAAAAAUUUGUUUUCAUAGUGAAAACACAAACAUGUUUGGUACUUAUUUUUAUAUAUUAAAAAUAUGAGAAGUAAAAUAAAAAAAAUUACAUUUAUAUGGAUUUAAAUUAGAGUACUAGGUUUAAUAUCUGAAAAACUAUUAAUAAAAGAAUAUUUUUGCGUUUAUGUGUUUGAACUAGGAUUUAUUCAUAUGAAUUCAUAUGCUUCAUUUGGUUCUAGUGUAAUAUUACGAAAAAAAACUUAUUUAUUACAUAUGUAUUACAAUAGUUAGACAUAAAAUAAAGAAUAACGAAUACAGAUUUAAAGUUGAAAUCAAAAAGCUGAGUAAAGACUCUUGUAAAAAUCAAUACCUCUUUAAAAUAAGUAAAAAUUUUGUCUCCUCUUUGUUAGGGGAAGCCGAAAUUAAAUUGUAAUUUUUACGAUAGUAAAAAUGUGAUUUCACCGUUUGAACAACCUAUAUUUUCAUAUUUUUUAAAGGAUUAAAUCAAAAUUUUAUCAUUUUAGGGGGUAAAGUACAAUUUUUCCUUUACUAAUUUAAAAUUUUAAAAAUUCUAAAGGAUCUAAAUAAAAAAUUUUCCAUUUUAAGGGGGUUGGGCCGUUACCAGCCUCCCUAGAUACGCCCUUGUCAUGAAAGUAACUAAAUAGUACCAAUUAAAUUAAUUUAUUACUAACUCAUAUAUUAAAAUAUAUGUAAAAAAUAAUACCGUAAUUACUAAACGAAUCAUUAAAAUUGAAAACAUUUGUUUUCAUAUAGCAAGACCAAAGCUCCUUCUCGGCCAAUUCAAGAACAAGGAACUUGAGAAGUAACAAGAGCAAGGGCCUCAUUGAGCACGACCAAAGCUCCUUGUGGUUGAUUGUGAGCUUGUGUUUCAGGCCUAAACCACCUCAAAGGUUAUUCUGAUGAUGGUUGAUGCUUUUUUUUUUCUUUUGUGUGAAAAAGUAUCAUGUGAAUGCAUUAGAGGGUAGUUACAGUAGUAGAAGCCUUUCGACAUCGGAUUUGGUUUUUCAAUUCAUGAUGGGUAGUGGUUGAACAUGACUUAAGAGGGUGAGAUCAUGAUUUGUUGUGGUCUCUCAUUAUCGUGUUGCUUUGUUUUGUUCUUUUUCUUUUUCAGUGUAAGAAGGUUGGUAUUCAUUAAAAAAGAGAACAAGAAAGACUUGGAAAAAGCAAUAGCCGCCUACUUUGGCCAUUCCCAACACCAAAAAAAAAAAAAAAGGGAAAAAUUAAAAGUGCAAAACCAAAGAGAACUAGCAAGACUUAUGGAUGAAACCUCAAACUCUUCUCACCGAAAGCCUUGCAUCAUUGAAAGAAAUACGAGGAAAUUACAUGCAUGGAACGGAUACCCGAAGAAGAAGAAGAAGAAGAAGAAGAAGAAAUGUGUUCCUAUAAAGGCGAUUCAGACAGAUCGAUCCACCAGUGAUUUGCUUUCAUGAAUGGCACCUCCUCUACCCCAUAAGUGCUACAUUAAUUUGUUGCUAAAGCCCUUUCUUGUGUUCUAAUCCCUACGUGCAUGGUUGAAUUAACACUUUGCAAAAUUCAUACAUAAAGAUUUUUCAUUUGCAUCUUAACAGCCGUUUUGGAAUCCCAAUUCUAACAUGAAUUGGGUGGCAAAAGAAUGAGGAAUAAUUUUGUUCUUAUAAACUAAAGAAGCCAUGACUAGACCAUCAUGAUUCCUAACAGUGAUGCAUGUGUACUAUAUUGCUUUGAGGGUGCCUUGCAAAAUUAACAUUUACUAAAGGUUUUACUGGAGGCGACCACCUCUUAGUUUAUUGUAGCAACGAACCUGGUUCAAUAUCCAGCAAUGAGUCUAAUUUUAGAAUGUAGGCUUGAAACAAAAGUACUAAUUUUUUGAAUUGAUUGGAAAAUGCUUUUAUGAACCAGUUUGUUUCUUGAAAACUAUAACGCUCGUAGCGAUUGUUAAAUAGGUGAUCUAACUACUCAUUAAUUAUUUAAUGUUUAACUAAUAUUAAGUUGCAUUAUGUGAUUAGAUCAUAAAAAAUCCUUGGUCUAAUCGAAAUUGAGAAAAUCGACUAGAAGACUAUUAUAUUGUCUAUCCAGUCCAAUUGAGGAGAUAUCUUAUAUUGGACAUCAGAGCAGAUAACUCCAGAACUUAGAGAUAGGUAUCGUUGUUUAGACUGACAAUACAUCUAAUAGGAUCCUAGUCGAAUUUAUCCUAGAUUCGUUUAUAAAUUAUUCACUUGUGGCAUUCAUAUUGUGACAUACCUUAAUCCUGAGUGAAUAAUGAACUAUGCAUGCGUGAUUUGUAUACUUUUAUGUAUUGAAAACUUGAAUCCAAAUAGAUAAGGAAUCGAAAGCUAGUAUGUUGUGAAUAUGACUUCCGCAUGAGAUAACGUUAUUCCACAACAAUGGAAUCAUAACCCUAUAAGGGUAAAUCAUAUACUAUAGUGAAAUGACUUCAUGAUUAAAGAAGUUUAAUUAAUAGGUGAAGACCUGCAAACUUAAUUACAAAUUAUUUGAGUCUUAAUUAUAUAUGUCAAAUUUGUCCCUCCGCUAGCUCGAGAUAACCUAAAACGAAUUGCAUUUAAAACCCAUAAAUUGUGGAAAUGAAUGAAAAUAAUAAACAAAAGAAAUAGAUCACAUGUAUCAUUAUCCACAUUGAAUGUGUUUUCUC